UAAUACGGAGGAUCCAAGCGUUAUCCGGAAUCAUUGGGUUUAAAGGGUCCGCAGGCGGUCUGAUAAGUCAGAGGUGAAAUCCUAUCGCUUAACGAUAGAACUGCCUUUGAUACUGUCAGACUUGAGUUAUUGUGAAGUAGUUAGAAUGUGUAGUGUAGCGGUGAAAUGCAUAGAUAUUACACAGAAUACCGAUUGCGAAAGCAGAUUACUAACAAUAUACUGACGCUCAGGGACGAAAGCGUGGGUAGCGAACAGGAUUAGAUACCCUGGUAGUCCACGCCGUAAACGAUGGUCACUAGCUGUUUGAUACACAUUGGUGUGUUGAGUGGCCAAGCGAAAGUGAUAAGUGACCCACCUGGGGAGUACGCUCGCAAGAGUG
This 379-nucleotide ribosomal RNA is filed under the name uncultured Bacteroidota bacterium. RNAcentral describes it as "bacterial SSU rRNA". It matches the Rfam family "Bacterial small subunit ribosomal RNA", at positions 521 to 896 of the family's 1533-position model. The record is from RNAcentral. Lineage: Bacteria; Pseudomonadati; Bacteroidota.